UGUAGCUUUCCCUGCGGAUGGCAGCCUUUCCCCAAGAUUGAUUCUGAUGCCCUGGGGGACCGAGGUGACGUCAGCUCGCCACUGUAGUCCUGGACUGCUACUCCUGCCUCCAGGGCCCAGCAGCAGAGCCAGGGACUGGCCGCCUGUCUCAGGGGCAGUUUGAACCACAGCUUCAAAAUCUUUCCUGGGGCUGGCGUUGUGGGACAGAGGGUUAAGCUGCGACUGUGGCACCGGCAUCCCAUAAGAGUGCCAACAGGAGUUCUGGCUACUCCACUUUUGAUUCAGCUCCCUGCUAAUGUCAGGGACGCCAGGGAGCCCUGGAAAGGAAGCAAAACGUGACAGACUCUCCAGGAGCCCUGGGGUGAGGGAGAAGGGAGAAACGCCUAUAGUGGCAUUUUCAGGUGUUGUCGCUUGUGCAGCAAGGACCUGUGAACUUCUGUGCAAAUUACACGUCUGUUCCCUGAUUGGCUCAGGUAGAAUCCUCAUUAGCAUGCACCUCCGUGGAUCAGAGAGUACUUGCCGCUUUAGAAGCCCAGAAAAGACCAAGGCAGCAGGCUUGAGAGGCAAUCUGGAGUAAGCAGCGCCCUGGAGCAGGCAGCCUGGGCUGGGCAGGCCCUCCUGGCUGCCGCAGAACCUUCUCUGCUUCCUUCAACAAACGUCCUUCGCUUUGCUUCCUCCUCCCGUCCUCUGUGUCUCCUUCUCCACGGUCACAAGACAGAGAAGCCGACAGAGAAAAGCAGCAGCAACCUGGAAGACUGCACACCGGGAGCCGUGACCCAGCCGCAACACAGCACCGCAGCACGGGAGCCGCUGUCCCGGAAAGAGGAGCCUGCCGCAGCUCUGGGUCGCUGAGCCGAGGCCUGGCAUCGCGGACUCCUCCUCCACCACUCCUGCAACACUGAUGCCCGAGGGCUUGGGCCCCUGCCACUGCAUGGGAAACCCGGAUGGAGUGCCUGGUUUUGGCACAGACAUUUGGGGAGUGAACCCGCAGAUGGGAGAUCUUGUAACUCUACCUUUCAAAUAAACAGAUCUUCGUAAAAAUGAAAUCUUUCUCAACAUCCAAGGUGAAGAACCCAUUCAUGUUUUCUUCUGCUCCUUGUAGGGUGUGUAGGGCUGGAUGUGUCCUGGCCCCCAACUUCCUGCUUUGAAAUUAAUCCCACUGUGCUGGGAUUUGGAGGCGGGGCCUUGUGAGUGGAGUCCAAGCUCUCCCAAGAGAAGGCUAGAGCGAUCCCUGGCUCUGUCCUGUGUGAGGAUGGGUGAGAAGUCGGCCUCUGCAGCCUGGAAGGGAGCCCUCACCAGAACCCACGCCUGACCUGGGACUCCUGGCUGCCAGAACUGGGGGAAGUAGUGAAGGUUGUUCAUAAGGCAUCCCACUCCUGGCUUCGUGUUCUGGUAGCCGGAGCUAAGAUUCGUGCCUUUGUGUUUUAUACUUGGAUCUCUAAUCCAUACAGAGUUUGUUCUUUGGGCUGCAACAUGUGGGUCCAAUUUUAUCUUUUCCCACAUGGCUACCCAGUUGUUCCAGCACCAUUUAUUACAAAGUCCUUCUUCAGUGGGUAACAAAGGCGGCGUCCCAAUUCUCUGGGGUAGGAAUGCACUUGAGCCGGUUUCAGAAUCUUCUAGUCUGUUCAGUUAGUCUCUUCAUGCGCCAGAACCUCCCCAUUUUGAAUCACAUCUUGUAUUUUUUGAAUGAUAAAACAGCUCGCUCUCGCGAUUUUUCUUUUCCAGUGUUUUCUUGCCUAGUUAUUUUUCCAUGUGAACUCUACCAACAGCUUAGAUAUCUUUGUAAAACAGCUUGCUGGUAUUUUUAUUGGGACUGCCUAGAAUGUAAAGGGUAA
This is a non-coding RNA of Oryctolagus cuniculus (rabbit), 1835 nucleotides long. The record is from RefSeq and is a predicted model, not a curated record. NCBI's taxonomy places the organism in Eukaryota, Metazoa, Chordata, Mammalia, Lagomorpha, Leporidae.